RNAcentral lists this unclassified non-coding RNA (456 nucleotides) under Hevea brasiliensis (rubber tree). The record is from RNAcentral. Lineage: Eukaryota; Viridiplantae; Streptophyta; Magnoliopsida; Malpighiales; Euphorbiaceae.
AGUAAUUUAAUGAUUAUAAUCUCUCCAUAAAAUAAUAAAGGACAUAAAUGAAAAAUUCAUUGAUCAUCAAAAUAUAUAAAUUAAGCAAAAUCCAUUAUCUAUCAAUAAAUUAAGCCUCCAAUAUACCAAACCUAACUAAACAACCAAAUCAAACCUCUCAGUUACGCUACAAAUUAAAAUAAAUAAUAAGAUAAGACCCAUUACAAAAUUUGCAAAUACGAGACAAUCUUCCAAUAACAAAUUUCCAAAACUAGACAAAUCAAAGGGGGAAAAAAAGUAAUCUUUUCAAAUUCAAUUAGCCUUUCCAAGCAAAUCCCGAAAUUCUCAUAAAUCCAUCAUCGCCCAUCUCUGUGAAUAAUUUUCAGGUUUCAAUCUUCCAAAUUUAAUUCUUGAAUUUUAUGUCGUUCACAUUGGGCAGCCAUAUUCCUUAAAUUGUCUUAUUAAAUUACUGAGCAA